UUCGCAAUGCCCGAAAGGGUGACGAAGCGACGCCGCGUGUGGGAAGAAGGCCUUCGGGUUGUAAACCACUGUCGGGAGUUAGGAAGUGUGGGGGUGUUAAUAGCGCCUCUACUUGACUAAGGCUCCGGAGGAAGCCACGGCUAACUCUGUGCCAGCAGCCGCGGUAAUACAGAGGCGGCAAGCGUUGUUCGGAAUUAUUGGGCGUAAAGGGCACGUAGGCGGCCUCGUAAGUCAGUUGUGAAAGCCUUCUGCUUAACGGGAGAACAGCAUCUGAUACUGCGAGGCUAGAGUGCGGGAGGGGAGGGUGGAACUUCUGGUGGAGCGGUGAAAUACGUAGAUAUCAGAAGGAACACCGGCGGCGAAAGCGACUCUCUGGCCCGUAACUGACGCUGAGUGUGCGAAAGCUAGGGGAGCAAACGGGAUUAGAUACCCCGGUAGUCCUAGCCGUAAACGAUGGGCACUAAGUAGAGGGGUUUU
Molecule: ribosomal RNA, 477 nt
Filed under: uncultured bacterium
Lineage: Bacteria
Description: bacterial SSU rRNA
Rfam family: Bacterial small subunit ribosomal RNA
Source: RNAcentral